UACGUAGGGGGCAAGCGUUGUCCGGAUUUAUUGGGCGUAAAGAGCGUGUAGGCGGCUAGGUAGGUCCGUUGUGAAAACUCGAGGCUCAACCUCGAGACGCCGGUGGAAACCAUCUAGCUAGAGUCCGGAAGAGGAGAGUGGAAUUCCUGGUGUAGCGGUGAAAUGCGCAGAUAUCAGGAAGAACACCCGUGGCGAAGGCGGCUCUCUGGGACGUGACCGACGCUGAGACGCGAAAGCGUGGGGAGCGAACAGG
This 253-nucleotide ribosomal RNA is filed under the name uncultured bacterium. RNAcentral's name for it is "partial 16S ribosomal RNA". It matches the Rfam family "Bacterial small subunit ribosomal RNA", at positions 524 to 776 of the family's 1533-position model. The record is from RNAcentral.